GACGAACGCUGGCGGCGUGCUUAACACAUGCAAGUCGAACGGAAAGGCCCUGCUUGCAGGGUACUCGAGUGGCGAACGGGUGAGUAACACGUGGGUGAUCUGCCCUGCACUUCGGGAUAAGCCUGGGAAACUGGGUCUAAUACCGGAUAGGAGCCAUUUUUAGUGUGAUGGUUGGAAAGUUUUUUCGGUGUAGGAUGAGCUCGCGGCCUAUCAGCUUGUUGGUGGGGUAAUGGCCUACCAAGGCGGCGACGGGUAGCCGGCCUGAGAGGGUGGACGGCCACAUUGGGACUGAGAUACGGCCCUGACUCCUACGGGAGGCAGCAGUGGGGAAUAUUGCACAAUGGGCGCAAGCCUGAUGCAGCGACGCCGCGUGGGGGAUGACGGCCUUCGGGUUGUAAACUCCUUUCGCUAGGGACGAAGCUUUUUGUGACGGUACCUAGAUAAGAAGCACCGGCUAACUACGUG
RNAcentral lists this ribosomal RNA (465 nucleotides) under uncultured bacterium. Its description in RNAcentral is "partial 16S ribosomal RNA". It matches the Rfam family "Bacterial small subunit ribosomal RNA", at positions 28 to 507 of the family's 1533-position model. The record is from RNAcentral.